Molecule: ribosomal RNA, 492 nt
Filed under: uncultured bacterium
Lineage: Bacteria
Description: partial 16S ribosomal RNA
Rfam family: Bacterial small subunit ribosomal RNA
Source: RNAcentral
AGUGAACGCUGGCGGUAGGCCUAACACAUGCCAGUCGAACGGCAGCACAGUAAGAGCUUGCUCUUACGGGUGGCGAGUGGCGGACGGGUGAGGAAUACAUCGGAAUCUACUUUUUCGUGGGGGAUAACGUAGGGAAACUUACGCUAAUACCGCAUACGACCUACGGGUGAAAGCAGGGGAUCUUCGGACCUUGCGCGAUAGAAUGAGCCGAUGUCGGAUUAGCUAGUUGGCGGGGUAAAGGCCCACCAAGGCGACGAUCCGUAGCUGGUCUGAGAGGAUGAUCAGCCACACUGGAACUGAGACACGGUCCAGACUCCUACGGGAGGCAGCAGUGGGGAAUAUUGGACAAUGGGCGCAAGCCUGAUCCAGCCAUACCGCGUGGGUGAAGAAGGCCUUCGGGUUGUAAAGCCCUUUUGUUGGGAAAGAAAAGCAGCAGGUUAAUACCCCGCUGUUCUGACGGUACCCAAAGAAUAAGCACCGGCUAACUUCGUG